This 277-nucleotide ribosomal RNA is filed under the name uncultured bacterium. RNAcentral's name for it is "partial 16S ribosomal RNA". It matches the Rfam family "Bacterial small subunit ribosomal RNA", at positions 511 to 788 of the family's 1533-position model. The record is from RNAcentral.
GCAGCCGCGGUAAUACGUAGGGAGCGAGCGUUAUCCGGAUUUAUUGGGUGUAAAGGGUGCGUAGGCGGCUUUACAGGUCUGUGGUUUAAGCCCGAAGCUUAACUUCGGUUCGCCAUAGAAACCGUUUAGCUUGAGUAUGGUAGAGGCAAGUGGAAUUUCUAGUGUAGCGGUUAAAUGCGUAGAUAUUAGAAGGAACACCAGUGGCGAAGGCGACUUGCUGGGCCAUUACUGACGCUGAGGCACGAAAGCGUGGGGAGCAAAUAGGAUUAGAUACCCC